RNAcentral lists this unclassified non-coding RNA (312 nucleotides) under Hevea brasiliensis (rubber tree). Lineage: Eukaryota; Viridiplantae; Streptophyta; Magnoliopsida; Malpighiales; Euphorbiaceae. The record is from RNAcentral.
GCCGUGACCAAUCGCCGGUGAGUAUCUCCAAAACCACGGCAAACGGCAAUUUUUUUUACCUUGUUCGGAAUUCUUCCGGCGGAGCAUCGCCGGAGAUAUUUGAAUACUGACACACUUGUUUUGAGCCUGUAGAAGAAUCAAAACUGAAAAAAAGCGAGGAAAGAGCAUUAACAGAGUAAUGGAUCGGUUAGUAGCAGCAAAGGAGCUAUCUUUUCGAAUAGGGUUUACUGGACACAGUGGUCACCUCACGAUCGAGCCUCUCCCUCCUGUUGAACGCGAUACUCCUCUCAAUUCUAUUCCUGACUUCAUUUU